CUUGCUUCUCUUGAGAGCGGCGGACGGGUGAGUAAUGCCUAGGAAUCUGCCUGGUAGUGGGGGAUAACGUUCGGAAACGGACGCUAAUACCGCAUACGUCCUACGGGAGAAAGCAGGGGACCUUCGGGCCUUGCGCUAUCAGAUGAGCCUAGGUCGGAUUAGCUAGUUGGUGGGGUAAUGGCUCACCAAGGCGACGAUCCGUAACUGGUCUGAGAGGAUGAUCAGUCACACUGGAACUGAGACACGGUCCAGACUCCUACGGGAGGCAGCAGUGGGGAAUAUUGGACAAUGGGCGAAAGCCUGAUCCAGCCAUGCCGCGUGUGUGAAGAAGGUCUUCGGAUUGUAAAGCACUUUAAGUUGGGAGGAAGGGUUGUAGAUUAAUACUCUGCAAUUUUGACGUUACCGACAGAAUAAGCACCGGCUAACUCUGUGCCAGCAGCCGCGGUAAUACAGAGGGUGCAAGCGUUAAUCGGAAUUACUGGGCGUAAAGCGCGCGUAGGUGGUUUGUUAAGUUGGAUGUGAAAUCCCCGGGCUCAACCUGGGAACUGCAUUCAAAACUGACUGACUAGAGUAUGGUAGAGGGUGGUGGAAUUUCCUGUGUAGCGGUGAAAUGCGUAGAUAUAGGAAGGAACACCAGUGGCGAAGGCGACCACCUGGACUAAUACUGACACUGAGGUGCGAAAGCGUGGGGAGCAAACAGGAUUAGAUACCCUGGUAGUCCACGCCGUAAACGAUGUCAACUAGCCGUUGGGAAGCCUUGAGCUUUUAGUGGCGCAGCUAACGCAUUAAGUUGACCGCCCUGGGGAGUACGGUCGCAAGAUAAACUCAAUGAA
This 833-nucleotide ribosomal RNA is filed under the name uncultured bacterium. Its description in RNAcentral is "bacterial SSU rRNA". It matches the Rfam family "Bacterial small subunit ribosomal RNA", at positions 79 to 908 of the family's 1533-position model. The record is from RNAcentral.